RNAcentral lists this ribosomal RNA (756 nucleotides) under uncultured bacterium. RNAcentral describes it as "bacterial SSU rRNA". It matches the Rfam family "Bacterial small subunit ribosomal RNA", at positions 8 to 796 of the family's 1533-position model. The record is from RNAcentral.
AGAGUUUGAUCAUGGCUCAGAAUCAACGCUGGCGGCGUGCCUAACACAUGCAAGUCGAACGAGAAAGUGGAGCAAUCCAUGAGUAAAGUGGCGCACGGGUGAGUAACACGUGACUAACCUACCCUUGAGUGGGGGAUAACCUAGGGAAACCUGGGCUAAUACCGCAUAAUACCUACGGGUCAAAGGAGUAAUUCGCUUAAGGAGGGGGUCGCGGCCGAUUAGUUAGUUGGCGGGGUAAUGGCCCACCAAGACUGUGAUCGGUAUCCGGCCUGAGAGGGCGCACGGACACACUGGAACUGAAACACGGUCCAGACUCCUACGGGAGGCAGCAGUGGGGAAUUUUGCGCAAUGGGGGAAACCCUGACGCAGCAACGCCGCGUGGAGGAUGAAGUCCUUCGGGACGUAAACUCCUUUCGAUCGGGACGAUUAUGACGGUACCGGAAGAAGAAGCCCCGGCUAACUUCGUGCCAGCAGCCGCGGUAAUACGAGGGGGGCGAGCGUUGUUCGGAAUUAUUGGGCGUAAAGGGUGCGUAGGCGGUUUGGUAAGUCUGAUGUGAAAUCUAUGGGCUCAACUCAUAGUCUGCAUCGGAAACUGCCGGGCUUGAGUGUGGGAGAGGUGAGUGGAAUUUCCGGUGUAGCGGUGAAAUGCGUAGAUAUCGGAAGGAACACCUGUGGCGAAAGCGGCUCACUGGACCACAACUGACGCUGAUGCACGAAAGCUAGGGGAGCAAACAGGAUUAGAUACCCUAGUAGUCC